This 69-nucleotide transfer RNA is filed under the name Falcolipeurus quadripustulatus. Its description in RNAcentral is "tRNA-Ser". Lineage: Eukaryota; Metazoa; Arthropoda; Insecta; Psocodea; Philopteridae. The record is from RNAcentral.
AGGGUAAGUAGUUUUCUAUUAUUGAUUUCUAAUCAAAUUUUAAAGCAGUUGGAUUCUGCUUUUACCCUU